RNAcentral lists this ribosomal RNA (471 nucleotides) under Triticum aestivum (bread wheat). RNAcentral's name for it is "partial small subunit ribosomal RNA". The record is from RNAcentral. Lineage: Eukaryota; Viridiplantae; Streptophyta; Magnoliopsida; Poales; Poaceae.
AUGAGGAGGAAAAAAUGGCCGGGGAACCCUGUGUGUACCUUCUGUAACAAUAUUGAAACUGCGUCCCACCUGUUCUUUACGUGUCCUGUGGCGCGUGUUGUCUGGACAGUUGGAGUUGUGUUGGGGACUGAAUUAUGCCCGAAUAACAACUGGCAAUUCUAUGUGUGGUGUAAUAUGUUCCUACCCAAUGAAUCUAGAUUUUAUACUGUUGGUUUGGCGGCACUAACUUGGGCUAUUUGGCUUGCGCGUAAUAAGGCUACUUUUGAAAAACAAUUGAUCAAAUCUCCAUUUGAGAUUGUGUAUUCGGCUUGUUCGUUUCUCUUGUAUUGGGCAGGUCUUCAGCCGGUGGAAGAAGUGGCAAGAUUGCGACUCGGAGCUUAGAUGAUUAGAGCGAGCACAACCAAGUUGAUGGCCAUGUGUGAAGGGGCCAGGCGCGCGACGGGAGACGAGGGUGAGGUGUUCUCUGGAUGA